CUUAGACUUGUGUUUGCUGCUAUACGUACAAAUAUUUUGUAACUUUGGAGCUACACUUUUUUUGUAGCAAUUGUUUUUGUCAACCAGUUGCCAGCUCAGGCAGUUCUCACAGACGAUGGAACCUUUUUCUGAUUCACCAGCUCAAAUUGUGAGAAUUACGUUGUGUUUUUGCAGUGGAAAACUCCAGUAACCUUGCAUAUUCAAAAGUGAUUGUGCAGGCAUAACAGUGGCAUAACAGUGGGGAGUAUGUUAAGCACAUAAGAGGAAGGUCCCACUGUCCCAAAAUAAGGAGGAUAGCUAAGAAAAACAGGAUGAGCAGUGCCAAAUCAGUAAAAACAAAAAUCACGGGCUCUCUAGUCAUGAGAGAAG
Cygnus olor (mute swan) is the source of this 369-nucleotide long non-coding RNA. RefSeq lists it as uncharacterized. Lineage: Eukaryota; Metazoa; Chordata; Aves; Anseriformes; Anatidae. The record is from RefSeq and is a predicted model, not a curated record. The transcript is spliced from 2 exons.